This 497-nucleotide ribosomal RNA is filed under the name uncultured bacterium. Its description in RNAcentral is "partial 16S ribosomal RNA". It matches the Rfam family "Bacterial small subunit ribosomal RNA", at positions 28 to 507 of the family's 1533-position model. The record is from RNAcentral.
GAUGAACGCUGGCGGCGUGCCUAAUACAUGCAAGUCGAGCGAACAGACGAGGAGCUUGCUCCUCUGACGUUAGCGGCGGACGGGUGAGUAACACGUGGAUAACCUACCUAUAAGACUGGGAUAACUUCGGGAUACCGGAGCUAAUACCGGAUAAUAUAUUGAACCGCAUGGUUCAAUAGUGAAAGACGGUUUUGCUGUCACUUAUAGAUGGAUCCGCGCCGCAUUAGCUAGUUGGUAAGGUAACGGCUUACCAAGGCAACGAUGCGUAGCCGACCUGAGAGGGUGAUCGGCCACACUGGAACUGAGACACGGUCCAGACUCCUACGGGAGGCAGCAGUAGGGAAUCUUCCGCAAUGGGCGAAAGCUUGACGGAGCAACGCCGCGUGAGUGAUGAAGGUCUUCGGAUCGUAAAACUCUGUUAUUAGGGAAGAACAAAUGUGUAAGUAACUAUGCACGUCUUGACGGUACCUAAUCAGAAAGCCACGGCUAACUACGUG